AUAUCUAGAUUAAACAGAUUUAAUGUGUUUUUAUUAAAAACUAGGAGAGGUCCGCGCUACGCGCGGAAUUUGAUGGAUCGAUUUUUAUAAAAAAUAAUUUUGUGUAGGUUUUCUUUUAUGUUUAGUUGGGUGUGAAUAUGAUUAUGUUGUCUACCCCAUAACUAAAAAUGAUCGAAUUCGUAGUAUUGUUGCUAUUUUAAUCUCCAAUUGUAAGUUUUUAUAGUGUUUUAGGUUUUAUAACACUAUAAAAUACAUAAAUCAAUUGGAUUCGAUCAAAAGAGAAUGAGAUUGAGUUUUCUAAUACCGUUGUAUUUUCAUUUUUGUGAGGGUUUUAAAAAUAGUGGAGAAUGAAGUUUUUAUUUCGAAGAACUCUCUGCCAGAGUUAUUAUAGUUGUUUUGGAGAAUGUUAGUAAUUGAUAUUAUUAACAAUAGUUGUUAUUGCUUUGCCUUUUGUUUGUUUUUUUUGUUUAAUGUUUUUUGGUUAUAUUUGAUUAUAUAUUAUAUAAUUAAUCGUACUAAUAAAUUUAUUAAUAAGGAAAAAUCAAUAAUAGAAAGAAAAGACAAAGGCAAAAAAGUGAUAAAUGUAUUAUUCUAAACGGACAAACUGAGUAUAAUUUCUUGUGCCUGAAAAUGAAAAAUAUUUUGACUAAAAUAUUGUGUCUCAACAUGUAGGCAUCUUAUGUUCAUUUGGAUCUAGUCAAUUAUGUAUUGGUGAUGAUAGAUAUGGUUGUAUCGCAAUGAAUUUAUGACGUCUUUACUUUGAUAUAUGUUUUUUUUUGCAUGGUUGUUAGUUUAUUUACUUAUGUUCAGGUUGAUGGAAUUUGUGUGCCGGUGUAACACUUUUUGGAGUAUGAGGAUGGUACUAUUUAUUUAAUUUUGCCACGUUUACGUCUAUUUACAUUUAAUUCACAAUUUCAACUCUGGAUUAGAAAUAAGUUAUUUAAAAAAUCUAUUAUUUAUAUCAUAUAUCGUUGUCACCAAUAAGACUUGUGGUUCUGGUGCUGUUUCUAAAUCUGUGCGUAGAAACAAAUGAAUCUAGAAAUAAUUUUUCUUAAACAAAUUAGCAUAUGGAAGGAAAUGGUAUUCACAUCUUGUAAUGAGUAGUCGUCAUGCGUUACAAACCAAAUCUGGGUCCACUUUUUAGACUUGUAGGCCUUUUUCUUGAAUAAUUUUAUUUUGUAAAUAUAUUCCGUCCACAGUAAAACAGUUGUCUACAAAAAAAUUGGGUGAGUAAUGAUAAAGUUUUUUUUUUUUGAAAAAUGACUAAUGAUAAAAUUAUAACAUUAUUUGAAAGUUUAAAUUAUAUGGAGCCCUGCGCAAAAUGUAGUUUUGCGUUUAUAUUUAUGUACCAAAAUAAAUAUUUUCAUAGUACAUAAUAUUGUACUGUGAACAAACAUCGAUUGUAUGACGUGAACUUUAAAGUUCCACUUUUGUAUUCUCUUAAAGUAUUGGUCUUAUGAUUUUCUGGUUAUUUCAUUUCCUUUAUAGAUUUUAUAAUAAUAACUGCCAGCUUCAUCAUCAUCAUCACAAAUAUUUACAACCAUUAUCUCUCUCUCUCUUUCUUGGAUCAUCACACAUCCACACAAAGACUAAAGACGAAGAGGCAAAAGCAAGAAGUGGAAGAACAUCAGUACAUCACGCAUGGUUUUCACUUUGCCAUCCAAUGGAUGACACUCCUUUAGCUUCUCUAUAUUGAUGACUCUCCUUUAGCAUCAACAGAUGCAGUGUCAGCAGUCUCUUAAGCUUGAUAAAGGCGGGUCAAUCUGAAACGGAGAUUGUAAUCGAUGGUCAAAAGCUUGUGGUUGCUAAUGUUGGAGACUCAAGGGCAGUGAUAGGCGUUGCGCAUCAGCUCUUGAUAAAGAACCAAGCAAGGAGGGAAAAGAUAUAGAGAAGCGAGUUGGAUUUGUGUUAAACAUUCCAGAUACACCGCCUUGCAGGAGUGAAGAUCGCAUUAAAGGUAGAUCGUAAGUGAUGCAUCUGUAACUGGUUGCUUUUCAGAUUGUUAGGAAGAAUAUGAACCAUCGCGUUCGUUGAGAUUAGCUCUCGUACGGCGGAGAUCAGAAUUCAGAAAUGUGUUGAACCCUAAAAUCUGAAACGACGCGUUUUGAAACACGUAAAGUUUCCUUUA
Molecule: long non-coding RNA, 2128 nt
Organism: Brassica rapa (field mustard)
Lineage: Eukaryota; Viridiplantae; Streptophyta; Magnoliopsida; Brassicales; Brassicaceae
Source: RefSeq, a predicted model, not a curated record